RNAcentral lists this ribosomal RNA (497 nucleotides) under uncultured bacterium. RNAcentral describes it as "partial 16S ribosomal RNA". It matches the Rfam family "Bacterial small subunit ribosomal RNA", at positions 28 to 507 of the family's 1533-position model. The record is from RNAcentral.
GAUGAACGCUGGCGGCGUGCCUAAUACAUGCCAGUCGAGCGAACGGACGAGAAGCUUGCUUCUCUGAUGUUAGCGGCGGACGGGUGAGUAACACGUGGAUAACCUACCUAUAAGACUGGGAUAACUUCGGGAAACCGGAGCUAAUACCGGAUGAUAUUUUGAACCGCAUGGUUCAAAAGUGAAAGACGGUCUUGCUGUCACUUAUAGAUGGAUCCGCGCUGCAUUAGCUAGUUGGUAAGGUAACGGCUUACCAAGGCAACGAUGCAUAGACGACCUGAGAGGGUGAUCGGCCACACUGGAACUGAGACACGGUCCAGACUCCUACGGGAGGCAGCAGUAGGGAAUCUUCCGCAAUGGGCGAAAGCCUGACGGAGCAACGCCGCGUGAGUGAUGAAGGUCUUCGGAUCGUAAAACUCUGUUAUUAGGGAAGAACAUAUGUGUAAGUAACUGUGCACAUCUUGACGGUACCUAAUCAGAAAGCCACGGCUAACUACGUG